AUAAUUUGACGUUGAAGCACAUUUUUGUUGCCUAGUAAACCGGUUAGCUGUGACCAAGUUUAAACAGGCUUAGGACACCCUACUCAACGUGGGGUGCUGGUGCGGACUCAACGUCUAAGAACAAUACCACGUGCUACCUCGCCCGAACCGUAGGACGUCGGUGUGAUCUGUGGCUUCAGUAAACGUGUCUGUGGCUUCCAAUUAGUUUCAAGCACCACUACUUAAGCUGAUCAGCGUGAAACCUUCGUUAGAAACCACGUGCUCGACGCCCAAAUUCCGUGACUGUUAAGUGCUCGAUUCCAACGUUUCGGUUGACACCUGUGCGUUCAUUCCAAGCGCAACGCUUACACCAAUCCGACAAUCAAGAAAAUCUGCUCGAACGGAAGGCUCUGCUAUUCGGCCUAAUCUCAGCGUUCAUCAGCCAACCGUUGAAUCUUUCGAGCACGGAGUGGGCACUAGACAAGCUAACCGUCGUGGUUUUGGGAGCCACUGUCCAGACACCUUCGAACAGAUCAUCCAGCUGGAAAUAGUUUUAUGCGAUCGCCAACGAGGAACAUCGGCCGAACGAUUGACGCGUCGUGGGAGUUCACCACCCUCAGCCAGGUUUAGCGAAGAAGCUAAG
RNAcentral lists this long non-coding RNA (622 nucleotides) under Aedes aegypti (yellow fever mosquito). Its description in RNAcentral is "lncRNA AAEL027870". The record is from RNAcentral. Lineage: Eukaryota; Metazoa; Arthropoda; Insecta; Diptera; Culicidae.